AUUGAACGCUGGCGGCAGGCCUAACACAUGCAAGUCGAGCGGAUGAAGGGAGCUUGCUCCUGGAUUCAGCGGCGGACGGGUGAGUAAUGCCUAGGAAUCUGCCUGGUAGUGGGGGAUAACGUCCGGAAACGGGCGCUAAUACCGCAUACGUCCUGAGGGAGAAAGUGGGGGAUCUUCGGACCUCACGCUAUCAGAUGAGCCUAGGUCGGAUUAGCUAGUUGGUGGGGUAAAGGCCUACCAAGGCGACGAUCCGUAACUGGUCUGAGAGGAUGAUCAGUCACACUGGAACUGAGACACGGUCCAGACUCCUACGGGAGGCAGCAGUGGGGAAUAUUGGACAAUGGGCGAAAGCCUGAUCCAGCCAUGCCGCGUGUGUGAAGAAGGUCUUCGGAUUGUAAAGCACUUUAAGUUGGGAGGAAGGGCAGUAAGUUAAUACCUUGCUGUUUUGACGUUACCAACAAUAAGCACCGGCUAACUUCGUG
Molecule: ribosomal RNA, 482 nt
Filed under: uncultured bacterium
Lineage: Bacteria
Description: partial 16S ribosomal RNA
Rfam family: Bacterial small subunit ribosomal RNA
Source: RNAcentral